Molecule: ribosomal RNA, 505 nt
Filed under: uncultured bacterium
Lineage: Bacteria
Description: bacterial SSU rRNA
Rfam family: Bacterial small subunit ribosomal RNA
Source: RNAcentral
GCGUGUGUGAAGAAGGCCUGCGGGUUGUAAAGCACUUUCAAUUGUGAGGAAAAGCUUUAGGCUAAUACCCUGAAGUCUUGACGUUAGCAAUACAAGAAGCACCGGCUAACUCCGUGCCAGCAGCCGCGGUAAUACGGAGGGUGCAAGCGUUAAUCGGAAUUACUGGGCGUAAAGCGUGCGUAGGCGGUUUAUUAAGUCAGAUGUGAAAGCCCCGGGCUCAACCUGGGAACUGCAUUUGAUACUGGUAGACUAGAGUAUGGUAGAGGGGGGUAGAAUUCCUAGUGUAGCGGUGAAAUGCGUAGAUAUUAGGAGGAAUACCAGUGGCGAAGGCGGCCCCCUGGACCAAUACUGACGCUGAGGUACGAAAGCGUGGGUAGCGAACAGGAUUAGAUACCCUGGUAGUCCACGCCGUAAACGAUGUCAACUAGCCCGUUGGGACCUUGAGGUCUCAGUGGGUGCAGCUAACGCGUGAAGUUGACCGCCUGGGGAGUACGGCCGCAAGGCU